RNAcentral lists this ribosomal RNA (292 nucleotides) under uncultured bacterium. RNAcentral describes it as "partial 16S ribosomal RNA". It matches the Rfam family "Bacterial small subunit ribosomal RNA", at positions 505 to 796 of the family's 1533-position model. The record is from RNAcentral.
GUGUCAGCAGCCGCGGUAAUACGUAGGGUGCAGGCGUUAAUCGGAAUUACUGGGCGUAAAGCGUGCGCAGGCGGCUCCUUAAGUCAGAUGUGAAAUCCCCGGGCUUAACCUGGGAACUGCGUUUGAAACUGGGGAGCUCGAGUGUGGAAGAGGGGGGUGGAAUUCCAGGUGUAGCAGUGAAAUGCGUAGAGAUCUGGAGGAACACCGAUGGCGAAGGCAGCCCCCUGGGCUAACACUGACGCUCAUGCACGAAAGCGUGGGGAGCAAACAGGAUUAGAUACCCUUGUAGUCC